RNAcentral lists this ribosomal RNA (431 nucleotides) under uncultured bacterium. RNAcentral describes it as "partial 16S ribosomal RNA". It matches the Rfam family "Bacterial small subunit ribosomal RNA", at positions 29 to 507 of the family's 1533-position model. The record is from RNAcentral.
AACGAACGCUGGCGGCAGGCCUAACACAUGCAAGUCGAGCGCCCCGCAAGGGGAGCGGCGGACGGGUGAGUAACGCGUGGGAAUAUGCCCUUUGCUACGGAAUAGUCUCGGGAAACUGGGGGUAAUACCGUAUACGCCCUUUGGGGGAAAGAUUUAUCGGCGAAGGAUUAGCCCGCGUUGGAUUAGGUAGUUGGUGGGGUAAUGGCCUACCAAGCCGACGAUCCAUAGCUGGUUUGAGAGGAUGAUCAGCCACACUGGGACUGAGACACGGCCCAGACUCCUACGGGAGGCAGCAGUGGGGAAUCUUAGACAAUGGAGGCAGCCCUGAUCGAGCCAUGCCGCGUGAGUGAUGAAGGCCUUAGGGUUGUAAAGCUCUUUCAGCUGGGAAGAUAAUGACGGUACCAGCAGAAGAAGCCCCGGCUAACUCCGUG